ACGCGGCUGGCGGAAUUGGCAAACGCAUUGGGUUUAGGUCCCAACGCCGCAAGGCUUGAGGGUUCGAGUCCCUCGCCGCGUACCA
Molecule: transfer RNA, 85 nt
Filed under: Lentisphaeria bacterium
Lineage: Bacteria; Pseudomonadati; Lentisphaerota; Lentisphaeria
Description: tRNA-Leu
Rfam family: tRNA
About the family: Transfer RNA (tRNA) molecules are approximately 80 nucleotides in length.
Source: RNAcentral